GAUGAACGCUGGCGGCGUGCCUAAUACAUGCAAGUAGAACGCUGAAGGAGGAGCUUGCUCUUCUGGAUGAGUUGCGAACGGGUGAGUAACGCGUAGGUAACCUGCCUGGUAGCGGGGGAUAACUAUUGGAAACGAUAGCUAAUACCGCAUGACAACAGUUAUUGCAUGAUAACUGUUUAAAAGGGGCAACUGCUCCACUACCAGAUGGACCUGCGUUGUAUUAGCUAGUUGGUGAGGUAACGGCUCACCAAGGCGACGAUACAUAGCCGACCUGAGAGGGUGCUCGGCCUCGCUGGGCUUGAGACACGGCCCAGAAUACUACGAGAGGCAGCAGUCGGGAAUCCUCAGCAAUGGCAGGAAGUCUGAACGAGCAACGCCGCGUGAGUGCAGAAUGCUGUCAGAUCGUAAAGCUCUGUUGUAAGAGAAGAACGAGUGUGAGAGUGGCAAGUUCACACUGUGACGGUAUCUUAACAGAAAGCGACGGCUAACUACGUG
RNAcentral lists this ribosomal RNA (495 nucleotides) under uncultured bacterium. RNAcentral describes it as "partial 16S ribosomal RNA". It matches the Rfam family "Bacterial small subunit ribosomal RNA", at positions 28 to 507 of the family's 1533-position model. The record is from RNAcentral.